AGCAAUUGCUAGAGGGGAAAAAAAAAAAGUGUUUAGCACAUCUAAUGCUCAAUGCCCAGCUAUAAAUUGGUAAAAGUUUCCUCAGAAAAAUCAUCACCAGCCAAACACAAAAGAGAAAGUUCAACUUUCAAUGACAGCCACAGAUAAAUCAUUCUUAUUCCCAUAGCAAUCAAUAUCAUUUCUUAAUCUAGUAAUCUGAUGAUGAAAAGUGUCAAAACCAAAUUUACAAUUACCAUCCUCAUGUGCAUUUUGCAAACCAUAUAAGACAAUCUUACAAAAAAAAUUUAUAUUUUAAGUCAACUCAAAACAUAAAUUUAAGAUCAAUUGCAUGAGAACUACAAAAGGGUGCAUUUUGUAUUAUCCAGUCUUGCUGAAGUCAAUCUAAUGAUUAAAUAAUCUAUAGUCCGGAAAUGACCCAGAGGCAAAUGAACCAGUAAUAAGAGUAUUUGAAAUUCUCAUUUCACUCUUUGCAUCUGAGACCAUUUCUCAUAAGU
RNAcentral lists this unclassified non-coding RNA (494 nucleotides) under Hevea brasiliensis (rubber tree). Lineage: Eukaryota; Viridiplantae; Streptophyta; Magnoliopsida; Malpighiales; Euphorbiaceae. The record is from RNAcentral.